GACGUAGGGGGCGAGCGUUGUCCGGAUUCAUUGGGCGUAAAGCGCGCGUAGGCGGCUGCGCAAGUCGGUUGUGAAAUUCCGGGGCUCAACCCCGGAACUGCGUCCGAUACUGCGUGGCUAGAGGUAGGUAGGGGAGAUCGGAAUUCCUGGUGUAGCGGUGAAAUGCGCAGAUAUCAGGAGGAACACCGGUGGCGAAGGCGGAUCUCUGGGCCUUAUCUGACGCUCAGGCGCGAAAGCUAGGGGAGCGAACAGG
RNAcentral lists this ribosomal RNA (253 nucleotides) under uncultured bacterium. RNAcentral's name for it is "partial 16S ribosomal RNA". It matches the Rfam family "Bacterial small subunit ribosomal RNA", at positions 524 to 776 of the family's 1533-position model. The record is from RNAcentral.